AUUGAACGCUGGCGGCAGGCCUAACACAUGCAAGUCGAGCGGGGUAGCAAUACCUAGCGGCGAACGGGUGAGUAAUGCAUGGGAAUCUGCCCUGUAGUGGGGGAUAACGUUCCGAAAGGAACGCUAAUACCGCAUACGCCCUGAGGGGGAAAGUGGGGGACCGCAAGGCCUCACGCUAUAGGAUGAGCCCAUGGCGGAUUAGCUAGUUGGUGAGGUAAAGGCACACCAAGGCGACGAUCCAUAGCUGGUCUGAGAGGAUGAUCGGCCACACGGGAACUGAGACACGGUCCAGACUCCUACGGGAGGCAGCAGUGGGGAAUAUUGGGCAAUGGGCGAAAGCCUGACCCAGCCAUGCCGCGUGUGUGAAGAAGGCCUUCGGGUUGUAAAGCACUUUAAGCGAGGAGGAAGGUCUGCUGGCUAAUAUCCAGUGAAAUUGACGUUACUCGCAGAAUAAGCACCGGCUAACUCUGUGCCAGCAGCCGCCGUAA
This 488-nucleotide ribosomal RNA is filed under the name uncultured bacterium. RNAcentral describes it as "partial 16S ribosomal RNA". It matches the Rfam family "Bacterial small subunit ribosomal RNA", at positions 29 to 523 of the family's 1533-position model. The record is from RNAcentral.